Molecule: long non-coding RNA, 467 nt
Organism: Colias croceus (clouded yellow)
Lineage: Eukaryota; Metazoa; Arthropoda; Insecta; Lepidoptera; Pieridae
Exons: 2
Source: RefSeq, a predicted model, not a curated record
CUUCGCUCGCUCGGCUCGUGCGGCAGUUCAAGAGUUAACCUAACACGCUCGUCGCUUCGCUCCUCGCUACCUAUUUGAAUACUAAAAAAAGUAAAAGUUAAUCGUUUUUAAAAACUGAAGCAAAGUGAGAUAUAAAAAUAACAUUAAAAUGUAUCAUUUAUACUCUAUGAUAAGCUAGUAUAUUUGUAUUGCUAAUCUGUGAUCUGCGUCAUAUUAACUUAUCUGUGGCUUGUUGUAUUGUUGUAAAUACAAAUUAUUGGAACGAUUUUUGGCUAUAAUAAAUUGUUAAAAUAAUAUUUUAACAAAAAAAAUUGUAAUAUGUAAAUAAAGUAAUAGGUACAUGAAUAUAUUUAAAAAUAAUGCGUUUGGAAAAGAAAAGCAGUUUGUUAAGAAAAUCCACUACCAGCUAUCGACUAAACAGCAAAAAAUAAUGAAAUUCGGGGACAUCGAAUCAAAUAUGCAGCCGA